RNAcentral lists this unclassified non-coding RNA (333 nucleotides) under soil metagenome. Its description in RNAcentral is "partial contains 5.8S ribosomal RNA, internal transcribed spacer 2, and large subunit ribosomal RNA". The stretch from base 1 to 121 matches the Rfam family "5.8S ribosomal RNA", at positions 35 to 154 of the family's 154-position model. The record is from RNAcentral.
GAUGAAGAACGUAGCGAAAUGCGAUAAGUAAUGCGAAUUGCAGAAUUUCCGUGAGUCAUCGAAUCUUUGAACGCACAUUGCGCCCGCCAGUAUUCUGGCGGGCAUGCCUGUUCGAGCGUCAUUUCAACCCUCAAGCACAGCUUGGUGUUGGGACUCGCGUUAAUUCGCGUUCCUCAAAUUGAUUGGCGGUCACGUCGAGCUUCCAUAGCGUAGUAGUAAAACCCUCGUUACUGGUAAUCGUCGCGGCCACGCCGUUAAACCCCAACUUCUGAAUGUUGACCUCGGAUCAGGUAGGAAUACCCGCUGAACUUAAGCAUAUCAAUAAGCGGAGGA